Molecule: ribosomal RNA, 1048 nt
Filed under: Spauligodon sp. type trimorphi
Lineage: Eukaryota; Metazoa; Nematoda; Chromadorea; Rhabditida; Pharyngodonidae
Description: eukaryotic LSU rRNA
Rfam family: Eukaryotic large subunit ribosomal RNA
Source: RNAcentral
GAACAAGAAAUAGCCCAACGCUGAAUCCUAUAGUUUUUGACAACUAUUAGGACCUGUAGCGUAUAGGUGCAACUGUUCAACGGAUUUGCAUACUCCAAGUUCUCUUGACUGAGGCUACAGUCCAGAGAAGGUGCUAGACCUGUAGGAGUAGUAAAACUGUUUGAUACUGGUUGUUCCUUUGAGUCGAGUUGUUUGAAAUUGCAGCUCAAAGAAGGUGGUAAACCUCAUCUAAGGCUAAAUAUGACCACGAGACCGAUAGCGAACAAGUACCGUGAGGGAAAGUUGCAAAGAACUUUGAAGAGAGAGUUCAAGAGGGCGUGAAACCGCUUAGAUGGAAGCGGAUAGAGUCAACAAAACACAAUAGUAAUCAUCCAGUUAAAUGCUGAACGUUUUGGCCGUUUGCGCUUACAGUCUUCAUUGUUGCACUUCGGUGUUGACAAGGGAUAGUUUGUGUUCGGCUGAUGUGUACGGCGUUUUCGACUGGUGCUCUUGCUGUUGUUAUGCAUUGAGGAACUUGCAAUGUGUACGGAAAACUUAGCAUAAGAGGACUAUGUUCCGAUAGAAUGUAGAAACCUUAUGUUUGAGAUAUGUCCGCUAUCCUUUGUAAGUUAUGCAUCAACUGCGUCUGCUUGAUAGCGUAAUACAAUUGCUUUGUAGUGAAUGUAGAGUACUAUGGAUUUGUCGCUUGCCGGCUUGUCCUAUAUUUUAUGUUCACUUCUAUUGCUGGUUGUGAAUUACUGGUAGACGUUGGUUCCACAAUGUAUACAAAAAGUUGAUCACCUAUCCGACCCGUCUUGAAACACGGACCAAGGAGUUUAGCAUAUAUGCGAGUCAUUGGGUGUUCAAAACCUAAAGGCGUAAUGAAAAUGAAUAUAUGGGAUCUGUAUACUGUAGAGAUGUAUACAGCGCACCAUAGUCCUGUUAAUAUUGCUUGCAAUUUAGCGGAGAUAGAGCAUAUAUGCUGAGACCCGAAAGAUGGUGAACUAUGCUUGAGCAGGAUGAAGCCAGAGGAAACUCUGGUGGAAGUCCGAAGUGGUUCUGACGUGCA